RNAcentral lists this small RNA (179 nucleotides) under Pan troglodytes (chimpanzee). RNAcentral's name for it is "sense intronic". Lineage: Eukaryota; Metazoa; Chordata; Mammalia; Primates; Hominidae. The record is from RNAcentral.
AAAAAAUGUAUUAGGCCAUACAUAUAACUGUUAUUGUUAUUAGCUUAUAACAACAGGAGGACAUAUGAAAUUCUUUAGAGACAGCCUUUGAGUUGGUGAUAAGCUUAUGCACUGAAGAAGCCUUGACCAGCAAAACCUGUGUCAUGAGAGGCAGAGUCCCACUUUUCUGUAUAUUAUGC